GGCAUUAUGGCUGAGGAUUUAAGCGGUAAAUUGUAAAUUUAUUGACGAGUUAAUACUCUUUUGCCA
RNAcentral lists this transfer RNA (66 nucleotides) under Histeridae sp. BMNH 1274329. RNAcentral's name for it is "tRNA-Tyr". It matches the Rfam family "tRNA". Rfam says of the family: Transfer RNA (tRNA) molecules are approximately 80 nucleotides in length. The record is from RNAcentral. Lineage: Eukaryota; Metazoa; Arthropoda; Insecta; Coleoptera; Histeridae.